This 207-nucleotide unclassified non-coding RNA is filed under the name Hevea brasiliensis (rubber tree). The record is from RNAcentral. Lineage: Eukaryota; Viridiplantae; Streptophyta; Magnoliopsida; Malpighiales; Euphorbiaceae.
GUUCAACACCUAGAAGCAGUCCUCUUCCCCUCACAUCACCAACAAUUUCAUGCUUAUUUUUGAUAGCCAUAAGGCGCUCUUUCAAGUAGGAACCAACAAAGUGAGCAUUUUGUUGAAGGUUUUCUUUUUCAAUCACUCUAAGGACAGCAAGUCCUGCAGAAGUACAAACAGGGUUUCCACCAAAUGUGUUGAAAUAAUUACUAUGGC